GGUGUUGUGGUUCAGCGGUAGAGCACACUCGCCUAGCAUAUGCGGGACCCUGGGUUUGAUCCUCAGCACCACGU
This 74-nucleotide transfer RNA is filed under the name Marmota monax (woodchuck). RNAcentral's name for it is "tRNA.Ala". Lineage: Eukaryota; Metazoa; Chordata; Mammalia; Rodentia; Sciuridae. The record is from RNAcentral.